RNAcentral lists this ribosomal RNA (292 nucleotides) under uncultured bacterium. Its description in RNAcentral is "partial 16S ribosomal RNA". It matches the Rfam family "Bacterial small subunit ribosomal RNA", at positions 505 to 796 of the family's 1533-position model. The record is from RNAcentral.
GUGCCAGCAGCCGCGGUAAAACGUAGGAGGCGAGCGUUAUCCGGAUUUACUGGGCGUAAAGGGCGUGCAGGUGGCUGUGUAAGUGGUGCGUGAAAGCGCUCGGCUCAACCGGGCGAGGCCGUGCCAAACUGCACAACUAGAAACAGGCAGAGGAAAGUGGAAUUCGGGGUGUAGUGGUGAAAUGCGUAGAGAUCCCGAGGAACUCCUGUGGCGAAGGCGACUUUCUGGGCCUGCUUUGACACUCAGACGCGAAAGCAUGGGGAGCGAACGGGAUUAGAUACCCCUGUAGUCC